RNAcentral lists this ribosomal RNA (436 nucleotides) under Hesperocorixa parallela. Its description in RNAcentral is "partial large subunit ribosomal RNA". It matches the Rfam family "Archaeal large subunit ribosomal RNA", at positions 1921 to 2592 of the family's 2987-position model. Lineage: Eukaryota; Metazoa; Arthropoda; Insecta; Hemiptera; Corixidae. The record is from RNAcentral.
GUCCUUUUGAUUUUUAUUUAAGGUCUGACCUGCCCACUGAUUUAUUUAAUGGCCGCGGUAUCCUGACCGUGCAAAGGUAGCAUAAUAAUUUGUCUUUUAAUUGAAGGCUUGUAUGAAUGGUUGGACGAGAAAACUUCUUUCUUUAUAAUAAAUUUAUGAAUUUUAUUUUUUAGUCAAAAAGCUAAAAUGUAAUUGUAGGACGAGAAGACCCUAUAGAACUUUAUAAUUUUUAUUAAAUUAAUGUUUUUAGUUAAUGAAUAUAUUGUUUAAUAAUAAUUAUUUUGUUGGGGCGACAAGAAAAUUUAUUUAACUUUUUUUAUUAAAUUUCAUUAAUUAAUGUAUAAAUGAUCCUUUAUUAAGGAUAAUUAGAAUAAGUUACCUUAGGGAUAACAGCGUAAUUUUUUUGGAGAGUUCUUAUCGAUAAAGAAGUUUGCGA